GACGAACGCUGGCGGUGUGCUUCACACAUGCAAGUCGAACGAGGUAGCAAUACCUAGUGGCGGAACGGGUGAGUAAACGCGUGGGAAUCUGCCUUUAGAUGGGGGAUAACGGGUCGAAAGACUCGCUAAUACCGCAUAUGACGAAAGUUGAAAGGAGUAAUCCGUCUAAAGAUGAGCCCGCGUCCGAUUAGCUAGUUGGUAGAGUAAAAGCCUACCAAGGCGACGAUCGGUAGCUGGUCUGAGAGGAUGAUCAGCCACAAUGGGAACUAGAGACACGGCCCAUACUCUACGGAGGCAGCAGUGGG
RNAcentral lists this ribosomal RNA (305 nucleotides) under uncultured bacterium. Its description in RNAcentral is "bacterial SSU rRNA". It matches the Rfam family "Bacterial small subunit ribosomal RNA", at positions 28 to 358 of the family's 1533-position model. The record is from RNAcentral.